GACGAACGCUGGCGGCGUGCUUAACACAUGCAAGUCGAACGAGACGAUUGAAAGCUUGCUUUCGAAAGUCGAGUGGCAAACGGGUGAGUAACGCGUAGACAACCUGCCUUUGAGAUGGGGACAACAGUUCGAAAGGACUGCUAAUACCGAAUGUUGUAUAUUUUCCACAUGGAAGAUAUAUUAAAGAUGGCCUCUAUUUAUAAGCUAUCGCUCAAAGAUGGGUCUGCGUCUGAUUAGCUGGUUGGUGGGGUAACGGCCUACCAAGGCGACGAUCAGUCGACGGUCGGGGAGGAUGAACGGCCACAUGGGGACUGAGACACGGCCCAGACUCCUACGGGAGGCAGCAGUGGGGAAUCUUUCACAAUGGACGAAAGUCUGAUGGAGCAACGCCGCGUGAGUGAAGAAGGGUUUCGGCUCGUAAAGCUCUGUUGUCGGGGACGAAUGUGCAGUAUUUGAACAAAGUACUGUAAUGACGGUACCUGACGAGGAAGCCACGGCUAACUACGUGCCAGCCGCCGCCGUAA
RNAcentral lists this ribosomal RNA (524 nucleotides) under uncultured bacterium. RNAcentral's name for it is "partial 16S ribosomal RNA". It matches the Rfam family "Bacterial small subunit ribosomal RNA", at positions 28 to 523 of the family's 1533-position model. The record is from RNAcentral.